GCGGACCUGGCGGAACUGGCAGACGCGCUGGGUUUAGGUUCCAGUGUCGAAAGACGUGGGGGUUCGAGUCCCCCGGUCCGCA
This 82-nucleotide transfer RNA is filed under the name Planctomycetota bacterium. Its description in RNAcentral is "tRNA-Leu". It matches the Rfam family "tRNA". Rfam says of the family: Transfer RNA (tRNA) molecules are approximately 80 nucleotides in length. Lineage: Bacteria; Pseudomonadati; Planctomycetota. The record is from RNAcentral.